GUGUUACAUGAAAGGAGAGAAGGUUAGCAUUCCCCCUAACAAGGAUGGAAGAGGUCCUCGGGCCUGGCAACAUGCAUAUGGUUAAGUCACUACUACCUACUUUGUAGCAUCUAACCACUGGUUUUU
This is a small nuclear RNA of Bison bison bison, 126 nucleotides long. The record is from Ensembl. NCBI's taxonomy places the organism in Eukaryota, Metazoa, Chordata, Mammalia, Artiodactyla, Bovidae.